UCUGUAGGCUGAUGAAGGUGCAUUGAGAAGUGUGCUGGAGGUAUCAGAAGUGCGAAUGCUGACAUGAGUAACGAUAAUGUGGGUGAAAAGCCCACACGCCGGAAGUCCCAGGUUUCCUGCACGACGUUAAUCGGAGCAGGGUGAGUCGGCCCCUAAGGCGAGGCUGAAGAGCGUAGUCGAUGGGAACCAGGUUAAUAUUCCUGGACUUUUUAUAAGUGGUGAAGUGGGGACGAAGAAGGCUAGGUGAGCCAGGCGUUGGUUGUCCUGGUACUUGCAUGUAGGGGGGAAGACUUGGCAAAUCCGGUUUUCCAUAACUCUGAGGUGCGAAGUGGUUCUGACCUUUUGGUACAGAGAAGUCAUUGAUGCCCGGCUUCCAGGAAAAGCUGCUAGCCAUAACUUAUAGAGAACCGUACCGCAAACCGACACAGGUGGACAGGUAGAGAAUACUAAGGCGCUUGAGAGAACUCGGGUGAAGGAACUAGGCAAAAUGGUACCGUAACUUCGGGAGAAGGUACGCCCUUUUGGGUGAGGGCAUUUACUGUCUGAGCUUAAGAGGGCCGCAGAGACCAGGUGGCUGCGACUGUUUAUUAAAAACACAG
This 599-nucleotide ribosomal RNA is filed under the name Legionella pneumophila. RNAcentral's name for it is "partial 23S ribosomal RNA". It matches the Rfam family "Bacterial large subunit ribosomal RNA", at positions 1240 to 1818 of the family's 2925-position model. The record is from RNAcentral. Lineage: Bacteria; Pseudomonadati; Pseudomonadota; Gammaproteobacteria; Legionellales; Legionellaceae.